GCCAAGGCCAUCAACGGGAACAUAUAACAAUACCGAGACUGAACAUAAGUUCCUGUAUGACUGAGUUCAAAUCAGUAAUCUCGAGAAACACAGAGAGGUGAAUCGACUUUGAAAAGCUUGACAGUUUCGUCAAAGAAAGACAGAAGUUAAGAUUGAUCAUGACAGUCACCCUAAAUUUUCAUUGGAAUGGAGUAAUGAAGGAGUAAAGAUUCAAGUGAAUACAAGCAACUUUCCUACAAAGAACUUUGUUUCUGCUUAUUUUGAACCCGACUACAAUCUCAACUACUACACAUUCCUCGCCCAUAUCCAUCCGGGAAUCCAUCUCUGCAUGAGAGGCAAAAUUUCGCUUCAGCAAAACCGACAGUGCCUCACUGUGCUUCAGAAGACUUUUACAGCAGUUAGCUAAUCUUCGCGACUAUAUAUUUACUGAGAUUUAAUACUAUCAAGGACUUGAGAUGCUGAAUCGCUUACCAGUAACUUAUUUUCAUUCGACAAAAGAACUCUUCACUUAUCGUUUGCCUGAGAGACAUUAUUUUCAC
Lytechinus pictus (painted urchin) is the source of this 539-nucleotide long non-coding RNA. RefSeq lists it as uncharacterized. The record is from RefSeq and is a predicted model, not a curated record. The transcript is spliced from 3 exons. NCBI's taxonomy places the organism in Eukaryota, Metazoa, Echinodermata, Echinoidea, Temnopleuroida, Toxopneustidae.